RNAcentral lists this ribosomal RNA (253 nucleotides) under uncultured bacterium. RNAcentral's name for it is "partial 16S ribosomal RNA". It matches the Rfam family "Bacterial small subunit ribosomal RNA", at positions 524 to 776 of the family's 1533-position model. The record is from RNAcentral.
UACGUAGGGUGCGAGCGUUAAUCGGAAUUACUGGGCGUAAAGCGUGCGCAGGCGGUUAGUUAAGUCUGAUGUGAAAGCCCCGGGCUCAACUUGGGAAUGGCAUUGGAAACUGGCUGGCUAGAGUGCGGCAGAGGGGGGUGGAAUUCCGCGUGUAGCAGUGAAAUGCGUAGAGAUGCGGAGGAACACCGAUGGCGAAGGCAGCCCCCUGGGCUGACACUGACGCUCAGGCACGAAAGCGUGGGGAGCAAACAGG